RNAcentral lists this ribosomal RNA (253 nucleotides) under uncultured bacterium. RNAcentral's name for it is "partial 16S ribosomal RNA". It matches the Rfam family "Bacterial small subunit ribosomal RNA", at positions 524 to 776 of the family's 1533-position model. The record is from RNAcentral.
CACGUAGGGGACGAGCGUUGUCCGGAUUCAUUGGGCGUAAAGCGCGCGUAGGCGGCUCGGAAAGUCGGGCGUGAAAGUCCGGGGCUCAACUCCGGAUCUGCGGUGGGUACGGGCAGACUAGAGUGAUGUAGGGGAGACUGGAAUUCCUGGUGUAGCGGUGAAAUGCGCAGAUAUCAGGAGGAACACCGGUGGCGAAGGCGGGUCUCUGGGCCGAUACUGACGCUGAGGAGCGAAAGCGUGGGGAGCGAACAGG